GUAGGGAAUAUUGGGCAAUGGAGGCAACUCUGACCCAGCCAUGCCGCGUGCAGGAUGACGGCCCUCUGGGUUGUAAACUGCUUUUAUACGGGAAGAAAAAAUACUACGUGUAGUAUACUGACGGUACCGUAAGAAUAAGGAUCGGCUAACUCCGUGCCAGCAGCCGCGGUAAUACGGAGGAUCCAAGCGUUGUCCGGAUUUAUUGGGUUUAAAGGGUGCGUAGGCGGAUCUUUAAGUAAGUGGUGAAAGCCUGCAGCUUAACUGUAGAAUUGCCAUUGAAACUGAAGAUCUUGAAUGUGGUUAAAGUAGGCGGAAUGUAUCAUGUAGCGGUGAAAUGCUUAGAUAUGAUACAGAACACCGAUAGCGAAGGCAGCUUGCUGAACCAUUAUUGACGCUGAGGCACGAAAGCGUGGGGAGCGAACAGGAUUAGAAACCCGAGUAGUCC
This 445-nucleotide ribosomal RNA is filed under the name uncultured bacterium. Its description in RNAcentral is "partial 16S ribosomal RNA". It matches the Rfam family "Bacterial small subunit ribosomal RNA", at positions 354 to 796 of the family's 1533-position model. The record is from RNAcentral.